Molecule: ribosomal RNA, 464 nt
Filed under: uncultured bacterium
Lineage: Bacteria
Description: partial 16S ribosomal RNA
Rfam family: Bacterial small subunit ribosomal RNA
Source: RNAcentral
CCUACGGGAGGCUGCAGUGAGGAAUAUUGCGCAAUGGGCGAAAGCCUGACGCAGCGACGCCGCGUGAGGGAUGAAGGUCUUCGGAUCGUAAACCUCUGUCAGCAGGGAAGAACGGUCACUGUGCUAAUCAGCAGUGAAUUGACGGUACCUGCAAAGGAAGCACCGGCUAACUCCGUGCCAGCAGCCGCGGUAAUACGGAGGGUGCGAGCGUUAAUCGGAAUUACUGGGCGUAAAGCGCUCGUAGGCGGUAUGUCAAGUCAAGGGUGAAAUCCCCGCGCUCAACGUGGGAACUGCCUUUGAAACUGGCAAACUGGGGUGUGUGAGAGGAUAGUGAAUUCCAGGUGUAGGAGUGAAAUCCGUAGAUAUCUGGAGGAACAUCAGUGGCGAAGGCGACUAUCUGGCACAUAACUGACGCUGAGGAGCGAAAGCGUGGGUAGCAAACAGGAUUAGAUACCCCGGUAGUC